RNAcentral lists this ribosomal RNA (501 nucleotides) under uncultured bacterium. Its description in RNAcentral is "partial 16S ribosomal RNA". It matches the Rfam family "Bacterial small subunit ribosomal RNA", at positions 30 to 523 of the family's 1533-position model. The record is from RNAcentral.
AUUGAACGCUGGCGGCAUGCCUUACACAUGCAAGUCGAACGGCAGCACGGGUGCUUGCACCUGGUGGCGAGUGGCGAACGGGUGAGUAAUAUAUCGGAACGUACCUUAUUGUGGGGGAUAACGCAGCGAAAGCUGUGCUAAUACCACAUAAUCCCUAAGGGGGAAAGCGGGGGACCGUAAGGCCUCGCGCAAUUAGAGCGGCCGAUACCUGAUUAGCUAGUUGGUGAGGUAAAGGCUCACCAAGGCAACGAUCAGUAGCUGGUCUGAGAGGACGAUCAGCACCACUGGGACUGAGACACGGCCCAGACUCCUACGGGAGGCAGCAGUGGGGAAUUUUGGACAAUGGGGGCAACCCUGAUCCAGCAAUGCCGCGUGAGUGAAGAAGGCCUUCGGGUUGUAAAGCUCUUUUGUCAGGGAAGAAACAGCAGCUCUAACACAGUAUGCGAAUGACGGUACCUGAAGAAUAAGCACCGGCUAACUACGUGCCAGCAGCCGCCGUAA